CUUCGGAGGUUAGCGGCGGACGGGUGAGUAACACGUGGGCAACCUGCCUGUAAGACUGGGAUAACUCCGGGAAACCGGAGCUAAUACCGGAUAGUAUCUUGAACCGCAUGGUUCAAGUUGGAAAGACGGUUUCGGCUGUCACUUACAGAUGGGCCCGCGGCGCAUUAGCUAGUUGGUGAGGUAAUGGCUCACCAAGGCAACGAUGCGUAGCCGACCUGAGAGGGUGAUCGGCCACACUGGGACUGAGACACGGCCCAGACUCCUACGGGAGGCAGCAGUAGGGAAUCUUCCGCAAUGGACGAAAGUCUGACGGAGCAACGCCGCGUGAGUGAUGAAGGUUUUCGGAUCGUAAAACUCUGUUGUUAGGGAAGAACAAGUGCGAGAGUAACUGCUCGCACCUUGACGGUACCUAACCAGAAAGCCACGGCUAACUACGUGCCAGCAGCCGCGGUAAUACGUAGGUGGCAAGCGUUGUCCGGAAUUAUUGGGCGUAAAGCGCGCGCAGGCGGUUUCUUAAGUCUGAUGUGAAAGCCCCCGGCUCAACCGGGGAGGGUCAUUGGAAACUGGGAAACUUGAGUGCAGAAGAGGAGAGUGGAAUUCCACGUGUAGCGGUGAAAUGCGUAGAGAUGUGGAGGAACACCAGUGGCGAAGGCGACUCUCUGGUCUGUAACUGACGCUGAGGCGCGAAAGCGUGGGGAGCGAACAGGAUUAGAUACCCUGGUAGUCCACGCCGUAAACGAUGAGUGCUAAGUGUUAGAGGGUUUCCGCCCUUUAGUGCUGCAGCUAACGCAUUAAGCACUCCGCCUGGGGAGUACGGUCGCAAGACUGAAACUCAAAGGAAUUGACGGGGGCCCGCACAAGCGGUGGAGCAUGUGGUUUAAUUCGAAGCAACGCGAAGAACCUUACCAGGUCUUGACAUCCUUUGCCACUUCUAGAGAUAGAAGGUUCCCCUUCGGGGGACAAAGUGACAGGUGGUGCAUGGUUGUCGUCAGCUCGUGUCGUGAGAUGUUGGGUUAAGUCCCGCAACGAGCGCAACCCUUGAUCUUAGUUGCCAGCAUUCAGUUGGGCACUCUAAGGUGACUGCCGGUGACAAACCGGAGGAAGGUGGGGAUGACGUCAAUCAUCAUGCCCCUUAUGAC
Molecule: ribosomal RNA, 1139 nt
Filed under: Bacillus sp. (in: firmicutes)
Lineage: Bacteria; Bacillati; Bacillota; Bacilli; Caryophanales; Bacillaceae
Description: bacterial SSU rRNA
Rfam family: Bacterial small subunit ribosomal RNA
Source: RNAcentral